RNAcentral lists this ribosomal RNA (753 nucleotides) under uncultured ectomycorrhiza (Bankeraceae). Its description in RNAcentral is "eukaryotic LSU rRNA". The stretch from base 295 to 448 matches the Rfam family "5.8S ribosomal RNA". Lineage: Eukaryota; Fungi; Basidiomycota; Agaricomycetes; Thelephorales. The record is from RNAcentral.
CUUGGUCAUUUAGAGGAAGUAAAAGUCGUAACAAGGUUUCCGUAGGUGAACCUGCGGAAGGAUCAUUAGCGAAACAUUUGUCGAGAAGGGUUGUAGCUGGCCUCGUUUGGCAUGUGCACGCCUGGAUUCCAAAUUUCAUCCUAUCACACACCUGUGCACAUCCUGUAGCUUUGAGGCGCUGAUGAGGCGGAUUUCCAGCUUCAGAUGCGUUCUCGGCUGCAAGCUUUUAUCACACACACACUUUAUUGAGUACUAGAAUGUAACUGUCGCAGCGUGUAAAAACGCGAAAUAUACAACUUUCAGCAACGGAUCUCUUGGCUCUCGCAUCGAUGAAGAACGCAGCGAAAUGCGAUAAGUAAUGUGAAUUGCAGAAUUCAGUGAAUCAUCGAAUCUUUGAACGCACCUUGCGCUCCUUGGUAUUCCGAGGAGCAUGCCUGUUUGAGUGUCAUGAAAUUCUCAACCGCCUUUGUGGGGCUUUGUUCCCAGAAGGGUGAAGUUGGAUUUGGAGGAUUAUCUUGCUGGCGCUCUUCAAUGAGCUUUGUCGGCUCCUCUCGAAUGCAUGAGCCUUCCUGUGCAUUAUUUGUGAAGCGAACUCUGAUGUGAUAAUUAUCUACGUUGGAUGUCGCGUUUGCAUUGGGCAUGAAUGGAUUGCAAAAUGCAGAUGAUUGCAUCUUUUGGGAUGCGUCUUGACCAAUUCGACCUCAAAUCAGGUAGGACUACCCGCUGAACUUAAGCAUAUCAAUAAGCGGAGGA